This 496-nucleotide ribosomal RNA is filed under the name uncultured bacterium. RNAcentral describes it as "partial 16S ribosomal RNA". It matches the Rfam family "Bacterial small subunit ribosomal RNA", at positions 29 to 507 of the family's 1533-position model. The record is from RNAcentral.
AUGAACGCUGGCGGCGUGCCUAAUACAUGCCAGUCGAGCGAACAGACGAGGAGCUUGCUCCUCUGACGUUAGCGGCGGACGGGUGAGUAACACGUGGAUAACCUACCUAUAAGACUGGGAUAACUUCGGGAAACCGGAGCUAAUACCGGAUAAUAUAUUGAACCGCAUGGUUCAAUAGUGAAAGACGGUUUUGCUGUCACUUAUAGAUGGAUCCGCGCCGCAUUAGCUAGUUGGUAAGGUAACGGCUUACCAAGGCAACGAUGCGUAGCCGACCUGAGAGGGUGAUCGGCCACACUGGAACUGAGACACGGUCCAGACUCCUACGGGAGGCUGCAGUAGGGAAUCUUCCGCAAAGGGCGAAAGCCUGACGGAGCAACGCCGCGUGAGUGAUGAAGGUCUUCGGAUCGUAAAACUCUGUUAUUAGGGAAGAACAAAUGUGUAAGUAACUAUGCACGUCUUGACGGUACCUAAUCAGAAAGCCACGGCUAACUACGUG